RNAcentral lists this ribosomal RNA (429 nucleotides) under Pseudomonadota bacterium. RNAcentral's name for it is "Proteobacteria bacterium partial 16S ribosomal RNA". It matches the Rfam family "Bacterial small subunit ribosomal RNA", at positions 355 to 776 of the family's 1533-position model. Lineage: Bacteria; Pseudomonadati; Pseudomonadota. The record is from RNAcentral.
UGGGGAAUAUUGGACAAUGGGCGAAAGCCUGAUCCAGCCAUGCCGCGUGUGUGAAGAAGGUCUUCGGAUUGUAAAGCACUUUAAGUUGGGAGGAAGGGCAGUAAGCGAAUACCUUGCUGUUUUGACGUUACCGACAGAAUAAGCACCGGCUAACUCUGUGCCAGCAGCCGCGGUAAUACAGAGGGUGCAAGCGUUAAUCGGAAUUACUGGGCGUAAAGCGCGCGUAGGUGGUUCGUUAAGUUGAAUGUGAAAGCCCCGGGCUCAACCUGGGAACUGCAUCCAAAACUGGCGAGCUGGAGUAGGGCAGAGGGUGGUGGAAUUUCCUGUGUAGCGGUGAAAUGCGUAGAUAAAGGAAGGAACACCAGUGGCGAAGGCGACCACCUGGGCUGAUACUGACACUGAGGUGCGAAAGCGUGGGGAGCAAACAGG